RNAcentral lists this ribosomal RNA (495 nucleotides) under uncultured bacterium. Its description in RNAcentral is "partial 16S ribosomal RNA". It matches the Rfam family "Bacterial small subunit ribosomal RNA", at positions 28 to 507 of the family's 1533-position model. The record is from RNAcentral.
GACGAACGCUGGCGGCGUGCCUAAUACAUGCAAGUAGAACGCUGAAGGAGGAGCUUGCUCUUCUGGCUGAGUUGCGAACGGGUGAGUAACGCGUAGGUAACCUGCCUGGUAGCGGGGGAUAACUAUUGGAAACGAUAGCUAAUACCGCAUAACAGUAGAUGUUGCAUGACAUUUGCUUAAAAGGUGCACUUGCAUCACUACCAGAUGGACCUGCGUUGUAUUAGCUAGUUGGUGGGGUAACGGCUCACCAAGGCGACGAUACAUAGCCGACCUGAGAGGGUGAUCGGCCACACUGGGACUGAGACACGGCCCAGACUCCUACGGGAGGCAGCAGGAGGGAAUCUUCGGAAAUGGACGGAAGGCUGACCGCGCAAAGACGCGGGAGUGAAGAAGGGUUUCGGAUCGGAAAGCUCUGUUGUAAGAGAAGAACGAGUGUGAGAGUGGAAAGUUCACACUGUGACGGUAUCUAACCAGAAAGGGACGGCUAACUACGUG